Molecule: ribosomal RNA, 468 nt
Filed under: uncultured bacterium
Lineage: Bacteria
Description: partial 16S ribosomal RNA
Rfam family: Bacterial small subunit ribosomal RNA
Source: RNAcentral
GACGAACGCUGGCGGCGUGCUUAACACAUGCAAGUCGAACGGAAAGGCCCUGCUUUUGUGGGGUGCCCGAGUGGCGAACGGGUGAGUAACACGUGAGUAACCUGCCCUUGACUUUGGGAUAACUUCAGGAAACUGGGGCUAAUACCGGAUAGGAGCUCCUGCUGCAUGGUGGGGGUUGGAAAGUUUCGGCGGUUGGGGAUGGACUCGCGGGUUACCAGCUUGUUGGUGGGGUAGGGGAUUACCAAGGAUGUGACCGGUAGGCGGCCUGGGAGGGUGACCGGCGACAUUGGGCCUGAGGUAGGGCGCAGAGUGGAACGGUAGGCAGCAGUGGGAAGUAUUGUACAAUGGGCGGAAGCGUGAGGCAGCGGCGCUGGGUGCGUGAUGACGGCCUUCGGGGUGUAAACCGCUUUCGCCUGUGACGAAGCGUGAGUGACGGUAAUGGGUGAAUAAGCACCGGCUAACUACGUG